RNAcentral lists this ribosomal RNA (505 nucleotides) under uncultured bacterium. RNAcentral describes it as "partial 16S ribosomal RNA". It matches the Rfam family "Bacterial small subunit ribosomal RNA", at positions 28 to 507 of the family's 1533-position model. The record is from RNAcentral.
GACGAACGCUGGCGGCGUGCCUAAUACAUGCAAGUAGAACGCACAGUUUAUACCGUAGCUUGCUACACCAUAGACUGUGAGUUGCGAACGGGUGAGUAACGCGUAGGUAACCUGCCUGGUAGCGGGGGAUAACUAUUGGAAACGAUAGCUAAUACCGCAUAAUAUUAAUUAUUGCAUGAUAAUUAAUUGAAAGGUGCAAUUGCACCACUACCAGAUGGACCUGCGUUGUAUUAGCUAGUAGGUGAGGUAACGGCUCACCUAGGCGACGAUACAUAGCCGACCUGGGGGGGUGAUCGGCCACACUGGGACUGAGACACGGCCCAGACUCCUACGGGAGGCAGCAGGAGGGAAUCUUCGGCAAUGGACGAAAGUCUGACCGAGCAACGCCGCGGGAGUGAAGAAGGGUUUCGGAUCGUAAAGCUCUGUUGUAAGAGAAGAACGGGUGUGAGAGUGGAAAGUUCACACUGUGACGGUAUCUUACCAGAAAGGGACGGCUAACUACGUG